UCGUGGGCUAACCAAUGGUCGAUGAUGGGGGCCCACGCCAGUGCCUGGUCGGCCCAUGCGUGCGGCCCCAAGACCAAUGCUACAGCCACCAGCGGCGCCGCCGGCCAUGGCACGGCCAGGCCAGCCACACGCGACCGGUAAACCUCCACCUCUUCUUCUCCACCCUACUUUCUUCGUCUUGCUCGGACACCGUGGAGCGGUAGGGGUAUUCAGUUCGAUAAUGGACGAGCAUCUUCUGAAUCCGGAGGAACCGGCUGCAGGUUAUGGGCUCCGUGACAAUUGAGGCAUGGUGGUGUGAGUGGUAGCGUGAGUAGAGGAAAUGGUGGUGGAGUGCCCUGUGGAACCAAUAGUACAGGAACUCCACAGGUCCAAUAUGAAGCAAUGCGGUGAUGAUGGCUCCCUCGGUUCUCCAUAGUGGCAUGUGACUUACAUUCGGGACGGCUAUGUAGGCCAUGUAGAAGAACAACCCAUUGAAGAUGAUCUGGUCAUCCCUGUACAGGAUAGCAAACAUCACUUGGAAUGACAAGAUAUCUGAACAUAUGUGAUUGGUGGAGACUCUGCUCAGCAGUGCAACGAUCACCUGACCAAUUUGAUCUCAAGUGCUAGUGUGGCAGAAGUAAAUAGCUGGCGGCAUACGUGACUUACCAGGAACUCUCCCGGUCCACCUGGUCGAAGUCAAGACUGCGGUCAACAAUUAUGUGCUUCCUCCGUGCGGUCUGGUGGCGAGACAAGCUGAUCCAGAUCUGGUUGUGGAUCAUCCUCAGUAGCAGAGCUGGUAACAUGGUGGCAUAUGCUGGGUCAAUGUCUCCCCACCCCUUUGUGAGCACCCUGUGCGCAGUGUGCAGCGCAGCAGGCGCCAGGACCAGGUACUGUAAUGUUCAUGGAUAGAGCUCCAGGUUAGAUAUUGAUACCGAUGAAUAUGAUCAAUGGAUUGAAUAUGUGGUGUACAAGAGCUGAUAUCUCUGAUCUUUGAUCCUUCACAAGCUACUGCCGUCGCUGCAAGUUUGCAAAUGUCUUUGUUUCAAAGAGACAACAAGUUUGCUUACGUCAAUUCAGUUGGGUAUGUGCAUGAAGUACUUGAAAGUACAGCUACUGUGGGUGAUUUAUGUCCGGAUCACAAGGUAAGGUACACAUACAGUUGAAGGUUUCAUGAGAGGACAUAAGCUUCUAAUCAAUUAGUACAUCUUUACGAUUUGAUCACUGAUCUGGGCGUGCAGCUAAGGAACCUGAAUUUUAUUGGGCACCCUCGUAUUCAUGUCACUUUCCACCAUGCAAGAGCAUGCAAAGGAGUUUGUCAAGGUCGCUAUCCUCUAUCUUUUUUAUUUGUUAUAAGAAUUAGUUAGAGUCUAAUAGGGAACCAUGGUAAUAUAGUAAAUGUAUAUUACUUCCAUCAGUUUCUUGAAGAACUUAUUCUGGAAUGUCAAGGAAACUAAUUCGCCAAAAAAUAAGGAAUAUCAAGGAAACUGAAAACUGAUAAGUACUCUGGAA
Molecule: long non-coding RNA, 1488 nt
Organism: Lolium perenne
Lineage: Eukaryota; Viridiplantae; Streptophyta; Magnoliopsida; Poales; Poaceae
Source: RefSeq, a predicted model, not a curated record